UACGAAGGUCCCAAGCGUUAUCCGGAUUUAUUGGGUUUAAAGGGUGCGUAGGCGGCUUAUUAAGUCAGUGGUGAAAGCCCCAAGCUUAACCUGGGAACUGCGUUUGAAACUGGGAGACUUGAGUGUGGCAGAGGGGGGUGGAAUUCCACGUGUAGCAGUGAAAUGCGUAGAUAUGUGGAGGAACACCGAUGGCGAAGGCAGCCCCCUGGGUUAACACUGACGCUCAUGCACGAAAGCGUGGGGAGCAAACAGG
RNAcentral lists this ribosomal RNA (253 nucleotides) under uncultured bacterium. Its description in RNAcentral is "partial 16S ribosomal RNA". It matches the Rfam family "Bacterial small subunit ribosomal RNA", at positions 524 to 776 of the family's 1533-position model. The record is from RNAcentral.